CUACAAUGUGAAUUGAUUUCUUCUUGCAUACCUUUGAGAUUCUUUUAUUUUUUCUGCCAAAUAUGUAUUGAUACUGCAAUUGGUUAGUAAAAGGGAAGGAAAGCAUCCAUAUUGACAAAAAAUCUUCACUCACUUUGUCAUUUCUUUUGUGGUGAGAGUGAUGAGGAACAAAGACACCGGAAACUUUCAUCCCCGGCCCAUAAAAAAUUCCACUUAGAAUUACUCCUAUUGAAGGGGUUAACUUUUGAGACAAGUUGAGUAUGAUGCUUUUAGUAAGGAAUUUGCAGAAGCCUUUUUAUUUCCUCUUAAUUUUUCAAUAAAGCUAGGGUCACAACAAUUUCAUAACACCCUCCACUUUGCCUACCACCUCACAUGUGGGCCAUUGAAAUAAUGUGGUGGGAAGCUCUUUUCCAGUCAACUCUUCUUGAUUUCAGAUGCAAAAUUCCAUUGCCUUAACUGCUUGUCAAAUGGGCUUGGAGAUUUGUGACGCAAACACAACUAGAGCUGGCCUGGGCUAGACAUAUAAAAGUUAAGUCUCUUCUGCAUGGGCAGUUCUUCACAUUUAUUAGCAUUCUUUGCCUCUAGGUUCAUCCAUUUUUAACCCUUGGGUUGCUACUAGACAUCUCCUAAGGCAGGGGAUUAGUGUUGUAGUUUGUAAUGGUUAGGCGCAUUUUAUACUGAUUUUUGGGCCUAUCCCUGGGCCUACGAACAGCCUUGAUCAAGUGUCUAGGUUUAAAUUGCAGACUAUGGUGGGCCCAGGUGUUAGGUUGUAGGCAAAUUGGGGGGUUUUGUGAAUUUUUGUUAUGAUCCUAGCUUUAUUGUAAUUUUUUUGGGACCUGUCCACUUUCCUUGCAUAAACAGAGGGUUAUUCAAAAUUUUCCUUUGUUUCAUGUAUCCUUUUAUUCAUGGUGUUCCAAGUCUUUUGAUGUCUAGGGCUUGAAGUGACCUUUGUAUGGGAGAGGUAUCUGGCCAUGUGCCAACUCAUGAUCUUAAUGUAUGGUUGUUCCCCUCUUCAAAGGAAAGAAGAAGGUUUACAUAUUACUUAGUGUAGAUAGAUCUUGCCAAAAUCACUACUGCACUAGGUCUGUAUUGAAAGAGCAAGAAAAAUGCAACCUUAAACUCCAAAUUUUAAAAUAUCAAGGAAUUCCAAGAAAAUAGCUAAAUUUAGCAAAGGAAUAUGAUAACCAGGGGACUUUUGACUUGAAAAACUUAUCUUAAUGUCACAAAUGGAGAACUUGGCGUAGGACAUAGAAAUGUAUUUAUAUGGCUUGUGUGGGCAUAGGGUUAGGAUCAUUUGCGAAAACUCUUGUUCAUUCCACAAACCCUAACCCAGCAAGGAGUAGAGUUUUUGAGGUUAGAGGUUUUUUUAUCUUUCUUUCUACCCUUCUACCCUUUCUUUCCACCCUUCUACCCUUUCUUUCCCUUGGAGGUUGGUGUGGCAAUUGAAUGUUCCUCCAAGGGUGGCUUUCUUUUCAUGGUCAACUUCUUUAGGUAAGAUUCCUACAAUUGAUAACCUUCGCAAAAGGCAUAUUAUUGUUCUUGAUUGGUGUUACAUGUGUAGGAGGUGUGGGGAGUCGGUGGAUCAUAUUUUGCUUCAUUGCCCCAUAGCUUUUGAGAUGUGGUCUUUGGUGUUUUGUUUGUUUGGACUUCAGUGGGUUAUGCCUCAUAAGGUAAUUGAGUUGUUUGAGUCUUGGCAAGGUAAAUUCGGGCGACAUUGCAAUAUAGAUUUUUGGAGACUUGUGCUGCAUUGCUUGAUGUGGUGUAUUUGGAGUGAAAGAAAUGCUAGAUGCUUUGAGGGAUGCGAACAGUCCUUGCUAGAGAUUAAGUUCUUUUUCUUACAUACUCUCCUUGCUUGGAGUGUGGCUCUGUCGCAUUUUUCUUGUUUUCUUGAUUAUUGUAAUUUUGGUUCUUGAUUUUUGCCCCCACAGUACAUCCCCAAUGUGCUUGGGUUGGCUAUUUUUUCUUAAUAAAGUUUUUUGUUACCUAUCCAAAAAACAAAAUUACAAGAAGGGUUAGGGUUUGUAGAAUGAACUACAAAUUUAUGAGGAGUCUUUCUUGUAACAGUAUAUUAACAUUUCUGAUUUGACAACUAAACUAAAAAUUUAACGAGGUAAUAAGAGAUUAAUUUGAUUUAAAGGAAUAUAAUCUCAAGACACCUAGAUUGUUAAAACCAUAUGAUUUGUUUCUGUUGGACUUCACACAUUUAUUUAUUUAUUUUUAAUAAUUCGGUUGGACUUCACACAUGCUCCCCAUAAUGGACAAAAUAAUGAAGUGGAAAUGGAUAAAUCUUCAAUGGUUAUAUCAUUCUCCCUUAGUUGGAAAAAUUUGGCCUCGAGUUUUAAUUUGUUAAAGUAUUAGUACUGUUGAACUUGAAACUUGCACCCACACGACAAUCACCUUCCUUGGUCCUGACUUUUUCACGAUAAACCUUAUGCUCACCUUGCUCUUUGUGGUCCUCAUUGUCUUUUUAACGUAUUCCUUUGGCUAUUCUUGAAAUUGGACUAGUGGUGAAUGGUAAGGUUGAGUUUCUUCUUUAAGGAAGCACAUUGAUGCAUGAACCAAUGCUAGGACUAAGGCUGUUGUAGCAGCAAAUUGGCAGGGCAAAAUCUAUGAGAUUUUGGAAGGAGAAUGGGUGCAAUGCUUGCCAAUAGGGAUGAGGUGCAGCAGCUUACAACUUAUCCAACAUUUCUUGUACAGUAGACAUUCUAGUUUUGCUUCUAUUAAACACACCCUUUCACUCAGUUGUUGCAAAGUCUUCUAGGUCUCUUCAGAAUCUUAAAAUGC
This is a long non-coding RNA of Quercus robur (English oak), 2784 nucleotides long. RefSeq lists it as uncharacterized. Lineage: Eukaryota; Viridiplantae; Streptophyta; Magnoliopsida; Fagales; Fagaceae. The transcript has 2 exons. The record is from RefSeq and is a predicted model, not a curated record.